CUGGACAUCCAUUUGUUGGAUGCACUUGAUAUGUCAUGUUAAUGGUUGGACCUAGCCAGGAUUUUCAAUGGAGGCGCCGCACGCCUGCUGAAGAAAAGUCUGGGGCAAAACCCAAUGCUAGAAGUUGUUUGGAGAAACAAUUGGUUAUGAACCUACCCAUGGAUGCACUAGAGUUAGUCAAGCCACACUCGGACCCGAAUACAGUCCGUGUGGAUUCUAGUACCCACUAAGAAAUUAAUGUAAUUCCUCGAGUUGGAGGUAGAGGCUACCAAUUUGCAAAAAAUAGUGAGAGGACCUUUAGACUAAAAUCCAUGUCUUCAGGAUUAAAAAAAUAAUUCAUAUACUAAUAGACUAAUGUUUUCUCCUUUCAGUUAUGGCCAACACCGUUCGUUGUUGGAUAG
Molecule: long non-coding RNA, 401 nt
Filed under: Elaeis guineensis (African oil palm)
Lineage: Eukaryota; Viridiplantae; Streptophyta; Magnoliopsida; Arecales; Arecaceae
Description: long non-coding RNA (EGUI_LNC082603)
Source: RNAcentral